AGGAUUUGUUAGAACACUCCCGGG
This 24-nucleotide non-coding RNA is filed under the name Cricetulus griseus (Chinese hamster). Lineage: Eukaryota; Metazoa; Chordata; Mammalia; Rodentia; Cricetidae. The record is from RNAcentral.